UACGUAGGGGGCAAGCGUUGUCCGGAUUUACUGGGCGUAAAGCGUGCGCAGGCGGUCCGCAAAGUCUGAUGUGAAAGCCCCGGGCUCAACCUGGGAACUGCAUUGGAAACUAACGGGCUCGAGUGUGGCAGAGGGGGGUGGAAUUCCACGUGUAGCAGUGAAAUGCGUAGAGAUGUGGAGGAACACCGAUGGCGAAGGCAGCCCCCUGGGCUAACACUGACGCUCAGGCACGAAAGCGUGGGGAGCAAACAGG
This 253-nucleotide ribosomal RNA is filed under the name uncultured bacterium. Its description in RNAcentral is "partial 16S ribosomal RNA". It matches the Rfam family "Bacterial small subunit ribosomal RNA", at positions 524 to 776 of the family's 1533-position model. The record is from RNAcentral.